This 253-nucleotide ribosomal RNA is filed under the name uncultured bacterium. RNAcentral's name for it is "partial 16S ribosomal RNA". It matches the Rfam family "Bacterial small subunit ribosomal RNA", at positions 524 to 776 of the family's 1533-position model. The record is from RNAcentral.
UACGUAGGGUGCGAGCGUUAAUCGGAAUUACUGGGCGUAAAGCGUGCGCAGGCGGUUAUGCAAGACAGAUGUGAAAUCCCCGGGCUCAACCUGGGAACUGCAUUUGUGACUGCAUGGCUGGAGUGCGGCAGAGGGGGAUGGAAUUCCGCGUGUAGCAGUGAAAUGCGUAGAUAUGCGGAGGAACACCGAUGGCGAAGGCAGCCCCCUGGGUCAAGAUUGACGCUCAUGCACGAAAGCGUGGGGAGCAAACAGG